UUAUUAUUGACCCUUCGUUGUUCCAUAUGUGAUGCAUGCGCCACAAUCCUCAUGUUUUCAAGCAAUAGUUUAGUUUACUUCCUGCGUAAUCCACCCACCAAUGAUGUUCUCAAUAUUACCCAGAGGAACAAGAGGAGUGCAGGGUAUAUGUAAACAUAAUUAAGAACAGCAGAAUAACUUUACAAGAGUAUCACUGAACAGGUACAAAUUUGCCACUUCCCACCGUACAAGAAGACUGUUAGAUUUGCAUUAUUAUUACAUUUUUUUGCUU
Molecule: non-coding RNA, 271 nt
Organism: Pelobates cultripes (western spadefoot toad)
Lineage: Eukaryota; Metazoa; Chordata; Amphibia; Anura; Pelobatidae
Source: the annotation of a GenBank genome assembly